UACAGAGGGUGCAAGCGUUGUUCGGAAUUAUUGGGCGUAAAGCGCGUGUAGGCGGCAUGGCAAGUCGGGUGUGAAAGCCCUCAGCUUAACUGAGGAAGUGCGCCCGAAAACUGCCGUGCUUGAGUGCCGGAGAGGGUGGCGGAAUUCCCCAAGUAGAGGUGAAAUUCGUAGAUAUCGGGAGGAACACCAGUGGCGAAGGCGACUUCCUGGCCUGUUCUUGACGCUGAGGCGCGAAAGCUAGGGUAGCAAACGGG
Molecule: ribosomal RNA, 254 nt
Filed under: uncultured bacterium
Lineage: Bacteria
Description: partial 16S ribosomal RNA
Rfam family: Bacterial small subunit ribosomal RNA
Source: RNAcentral